Molecule: long non-coding RNA, 681 nt
Filed under: Ornithorhynchus anatinus (platypus)
Lineage: Eukaryota; Metazoa; Chordata; Mammalia; Monotremata; Ornithorhynchidae
Description: lncRNA (ENSOANG00000045686.1)
Source: RNAcentral
GUCUCUCAUAACAUCGCCGAGCUGGAGAACGCUCCGGCAAAUGAAAUCCACGGCGCCGGAUUAAAGGGUUAUUUCCCCGGUGUGCCGAGCUGACAUCGGAGGCCAAAGUCCAGGUCGCUCCACCGUCGCCUCUGCCUGCGGAUUCUCCUUGCCUCUUCUGUACCCGCUCCCGUGGUGGCUCCGAGCGGGGACUGCCGCCGGUCGGUUAGGGGCCAGGGCUCGGUGACGGUGGCGUGGUCCGGAGAGGCGGAUUUCCAGAGCCGAAGGGCGGGAGCUGCCUUCCUCUCUCCGGUUCCCCCGACGGCAUCCUCCCCUCCAGCCGGCCGAAGGCCAAACCCAGAAACGAGAGCCGACGGGCCGAAGCCCCAGCCCGAGCCGCCCCAGCUCCGCCCCAUGACGCUGGGAUGAUUUGAAGAAGAGUAAGAGUCGGAUGGGGCACCAGGGCGUGGAAUGAAGCAAUAAGAGGUUAAAUUGAUGGAAGACCAACAAGGGAAGGAUUCUGUCUCAGACCACGGAGAAACUCUGCUGAUUAAUGGGGUGAAAGACCAUGGUAAGGCACCCGGGAAAAACCGCUCACAGGGCGGGGAGAGUGGCAUUUCCCCAAACCCACGGCUCGGGUCCUGAGUUUUUCCGCAUUUCGGCCGUGAGGGAGAGGGGUGGGAUUGGGGGUUCUGUAUAGCU